UUACUCACGUCUUCAGAAGAAAGUUUCAACAGAGAUGAUUUUACAACAGCAACGUUAUUGCUUCGAACAUUUUAUAGGAAUUGUUCCCUAUUUCGAUCUCGCUAUUACGUGUUUCAUCGCGAUUGGCGUGUGUUAGAAGGAUUGUCAAGAGAAUCGGUUCAGGUAUGUUAAGGCUAUCCCUUCUUUCUUUUUGGCAUGAUCCAAAUAAUACAAAUGAAACGAGCAAAAUACGCAACUUUCAUAAAUGACUCUAUUCAUAGAAAUACUAGGGGUGUCUAUAUUCUUGAUUUCCCGUGUGAAUUAUUAGUAUAUCUUUUGUUCAUGGGUCUCAGAAAAAUACGUAUUUGAUAAAGUUUAUCCGAAAGGCAUAUUGAUUUUUAUGACAUUCCGAGAAAUCUUAUUAACGUAUUUCUUAUGCAUUUCAUACAUUUAUACAUAUACAUUGACCCAUGACCAGAUGACGUUAUAUACGCGUAUAUUAUAUGUAUAUGGGAUAUGGGAAAAGGUUACGGCGUUAUAUAUGCACCACCACCUGAUCAGCUGGUAUAUGUUGAUGAUUUUGCCCGCAGUGGCCGAGAUGAUAUGAUGGGAUACCCUCAGAGGCUUGAUGAUGUUAUGUACACCUAUACCCAUGCAUAACACGACAUUUAUACGUACGUGCAUGACAUUAUAAAUGUUUCAGGAUUUACAAAGUGAUUUAUACUUACAGGCGAAAUUUCUUAUUCNNNNNNNNNNNNNNNNNNNNNNNNNUGCGGCCUGCGUUCAUGCUCGCAGGUGCAGGUAGACAAGCUGACGACCCCCCUUCUUAGGAUCCUUGAUCAGCGAGAGUUGGCGUGCUCCACUUGAUCCCGAGCUGCUUUUGAUUUUGGUACGAUAUGCAUGUAUACAUAUAUGGGUAUGACAGGGCCCAGUCCCAUCCUUGUACAGUUGUAUAUUCUAUUAGAGGUCUAUAGACAGAAAUGUAUAGUUGGGUAGUAUGUGGCCUUGUCGGCUUCCAGUUUUGGAUAUGUAGUUGUCUAAAGCAGCCUUGUCG
Molecule: long non-coding RNA, 1033 nt
Filed under: Nicotiana tabacum (common tobacco)
Lineage: Eukaryota; Viridiplantae; Streptophyta; Magnoliopsida; Solanales; Solanaceae
Description: long non-coding RNA (NTAB_LNC015337)
Source: RNAcentral